AAAAAUCCGUCGGAGCAUUAACCCUGAAACGUGAUGGGGAGGCCUUCGGGCCAUAAACGGACUGAUGCCAUGCUUCCAAGAAAAUCCUCUAGCCAGUUGCCAAGGCGACCGUACCGGAAACCGACACAGGUGGGCGAGGAGAAUAUCCACAGGCGCUCGGGAGAACUCACGCGAAGGAACUAGGCAAAAUGACCCCGUAACUUCGGGAAAAGGGGUGCCGCAGUAGGGUGUCAAAGCCCGAGGCGGUCGCAGUGAAAUGAGCCAAGCGACUGUUUACUAAAAACACAGGACUCUGCGAACUCGUAAGAGGACGUAUAGGGUCUGACGCCUGCCCGGUGCCGGAAGGUUAAGGCGAGGGGUUAGUGCCGCAAGGUGCGAAGCUCUGAACCGAAGCCCCGGUAAACGGCGGCCGUAACUAUAACGGUCCUAAGGUAGCGAAAUUCCUUGUCGGGUAAGUUCCGACCUGCACGAAUGGCGUAACGACUUGGCUGCUGUCUCCGCGUGGGACCCGGUGAAACUGUAGCGCCAGUGAAGAUGCUGGCUACCCGCGACUAGACGAAAAGACCCCGUGAACCUUUACUAUACCUUGGCAUGGAACUUUGACGGAGUCUGCGCAGGAUAGGUGGGAGGCUUUGAAGCCGGCACUCUGGUGUCGGUGGAGCCGACGUUGAGAUACCACCCUGACUGUGUUGGAGUUCUAACCUGGGCCCGUGAACCGGGUCGGGGACAGUGCCAGGCGGGUAGUUUGACUGGGGCGGUCGCCUCCCAAAAUGUAACGGAGGCGCUCGAAGGUGGGCUCAGCACGGUUGGAAAUCGUGCGACGAGUGUAAGGGCAGAAGCCCGCUUGACUGCGAGACAUACACGUCGAGCAGGUGCGAAAGCAGGACCUAGUGAUCCGGUGGUUCUCAGUGGAAGGGCCAUCGCUCAACGGAUAAAAGGUACUCCGGGGAUAACAGGCUGAUCUUGCCCAAGAGUUCAUAUCGACGGCAAGGUUUGGCACCUCGAUGUCGGCUCAUCGCAUCCUGGGGCUGGAGCAGGUCCCAAGGGUUGGGCUGUUCGCCCAUUAAAGCGGUACGUGAGCUGGGUUUAGAACGUCGUGAGACAGUUCGGUCUCUAUCUGUCGCGGGCGGAGGAGGUUUGACGGGAGCUGCCCCUAGUACGAGAGGACCGGGGUGGACGGACCUCUAGUGUGCGAGCUGUGCCGCCAGGCGCAACGCUCGGUAGCUAUGUCCGGCAGAGAUAAGCGCUGAAGGCAUCUAAGCGCGAAACUCGCCUGAAGAUGAGACCUCCCGGGGCGUAAGCCCCCUAAAGGGCCCUGGUAGAUCACCAGGUUGAUAGGCCGGAGGUGUAAGCACCGUAAGGUGUUCAGCUGACCGGUACUAAUCGCCCGUGCGGCUUGACCAC
This 1404-nucleotide ribosomal RNA is filed under the name metagenome. Its description in RNAcentral is "bacterial LSU rRNA". It matches the Rfam family "Bacterial large subunit ribosomal RNA", at positions 1536 to 2925 of the family's 2925-position model. The record is from RNAcentral.